GCAGCGGCAAAAUCCGCUGUCGGGAUUAGCGUCUCGGAAUUCAUUGAAACGCACGGCCGUAGAUUCGGCUAUUAU
Molecule: small RNA, 75 nt
Filed under: Yersinia enterocolitica (type O:5) str. YE53/03
Lineage: Bacteria; Pseudomonadati; Pseudomonadota; Gammaproteobacteria; Enterobacterales; Yersiniaceae
Rfam family: isrK Hfq binding RNA
Source: RNAcentral